AGUCGAGCGGUAGCAGGGAGAAAGCUUGCUUUCUCCGCUGACGAGCGGCGGACGGGUGAGUAAUGUCUGGGGAUCUGCCUGAUGGAGGGGGAUAACUACUGGAAACGGUAGCUAAUACCGCAUAACGUCGCAAGACCAAAGUGGGGGACCUUCGGGCCUCAUGCCAUCAGAUGAACCCAGAUGGGAUUAGCUAGUAGGUGGGGUAAUGGCUCACCUAGGCGACGAUCCCUAGCUGGUCUGAGAGGAUGACCAGCCACACUGGAACUGAGACACGGUCCAGACUCCUACGGGAGGCAGCAGUGGGGAAUAUUGCACAAUGGGCGCAAGCCUGAUGCAGCCAUGCCGCGUGUAUGAAGAAGGCCUUCGGGUUGUAAAGUACUUUCAGUAGGGAGGAAGGUGUGAACGUUAAUAGCGCUCACAAUUGACGUUACCUACAGAAGAAGCACCGGCUAACUCCG
RNAcentral lists this ribosomal RNA (458 nucleotides) under Edwardsiella tarda. Its description in RNAcentral is "bacterial SSU rRNA". It matches the Rfam family "Bacterial small subunit ribosomal RNA", at positions 60 to 505 of the family's 1533-position model. The record is from RNAcentral. Lineage: Bacteria; Pseudomonadati; Pseudomonadota; Gammaproteobacteria; Enterobacterales; Hafniaceae.